GGAGAAGGAGGAGCGGGCGAGGAGACGAGGGCUCGCCUUCUGGAUGCAGACGAUCUGCCUCAUCCUGGUCUGCCUCCAGCUGCUCCUCGUUGUUGUGCUGGGCUCUGCAGUGCUGUACACCCAGCACUUCGACCAGGAGCUCUUCUAUUGGCUCCUGCCUCGAGUGCUGCCCCAGGCAACGUACGCUUCCCUGGCGUACUUUGCGAGCAGCACCCUGCGUGUGGUCUGUGAUGGGCUGCUGGCCAUCUGACCGCUGGGCUCGGUAGCCCCUCCCAGCUCGGGGCUGCGCGGUGGGGCGUGGGGAGAGGGCUCUGUCCCCAUGGAAGGGGCCUCUCUUGUGCUCCUGCCCCCCGGGGUGCACAGGCACAGCUGUGGGGCAGUGCUGACAGGCGGCUGAGUGCCGCUUUGGACUUCUCAGUGAGUUUCUACUGUCAUCGUGAGACGUCGUCGGCUGAACACCACCUCCUCCGACAACCCAGCACACUGGAGAUCCGCACCUGACACCAGGACGUGGCUGGAUCUAUGAGUGCUUUGCUGCCUGUCCCUCUUUCCCCAUUUUCUGCCUUUUUGUCAUCUGGUAUUCUUUGGCUCUUUGUCACAGCCAUUGCCUACAAUUGUUACAUCUAAUAUUAUUCAUUGCAAUCAGCCCAUUGGCCAAUGUUACCACCAAUUGGUUGUUGCUGGUUGUUAAGAAAGCUCUCAAUAAAUGGUCAUCUAUUA
Long non-coding RNA from Centrocercus urophasianus (Greater sage-grouse), 720 nucleotides. RefSeq lists it as uncharacterized. Lineage: Eukaryota; Metazoa; Chordata; Aves; Galliformes; Phasianidae. The record is from RefSeq and is a predicted model, not a curated record. The transcript is spliced from 2 exons.